Molecule: ribosomal RNA, 447 nt
Filed under: uncultured bacterium
Lineage: Bacteria
Description: SSU rRNA
Rfam family: Bacterial small subunit ribosomal RNA
Source: RNAcentral
AGAGCGAACGCUGGCGGCAGGCCUAACACAUGCAAGUCGAGCGCCCGUAGCAAUACGGGAGCGGCAGACGGGAUAGUAACACGUGGGAACGCGCCCUUCGGUUCGGAAUAACUCAGGGAAACUUGAGCUAAUACCGGAUACGCCCUUACGGGGAAAGAUUUAUUGCCGAAGGAACGGCCCGCGUCCGAUUAGCUAGUUGGUGAGGUAAUGGCUCACCAAGGCGACGAUCGGUAGCUGGUCUGAGAGGAUGACCAGCAUCACUGGGACUGAGACACGGCCCAGACUCCUACGGGAGGCAGCAGUGGGGAAUAUUGGACAAUGGGCGCAAGCCUGAUCCAGCCAUGCCGCGUGGAUGAUGAAGGCCUUAGGGUUGUAAAGUCCUUUUAACGGGAAGAUAAUGACGGUACCCGUAGAAUAAGCCCCGGCUAACUUCGUGCCAGCAGCCGC